AAUCCGGGAGAGAAUAGCCAAAAAUAUUUCUGUUUUUCCCCUGUGAAAUAAAUGCUCAAGUUAUCUUGGUUACUACCAGUUGCUACAUUAUUUCAGGCGAUGAGUGCUUUGAAAAAAGAGAGAAGAAAAAAAGAUACGAGGAAAUAAAAAGGGGCAAGUGCCCGGAACCUCGAAAGAAAAGAAAAAGUGAGACGAGAGGUAAAAAUGGACAAGUGUUCGAUAGUAGAAUUAGGGGUACAAGAUACCCACCUGAGAGGAAAGAAAAGGAAAAUAAAGUGCAUCUAAUUCUCCUCAAAAGUUUCAAAAGAGCAAGAAAGGUAUGUACCCCUCAAAAGGGGAAAAGUAGAAUUAGACUUUCACCAUUGUUAUCACCAUCAUCACCAUACACCAUUC
This 393-nucleotide long non-coding RNA is filed under the name Sorghum bicolor (sorghum). RNAcentral's name for it is "long non-coding RNA (SBIC_LNC012294)". The record is from RNAcentral. Lineage: Eukaryota; Viridiplantae; Streptophyta; Magnoliopsida; Poales; Poaceae.